UACGAAGGGGGCUAGCGUUGUGCGGAAUUACUGGGCGUAAAGCGCACGUAGGCGGCUCGAUGAGUCAGGGGGGAAAUCCCAGGGCUCAACCCUGGAACUGCCUUUGAUACUGUCGAUCUGGAGUAUGGAAGAGGUGAGUGGAAUUCCGAGUGUAGAGGUGAAAUUCGUAGAUAUUCGCAAGAACACCAGUGGCGAAGGCGGCUCACUGGCCCGAUACUGACGCUGAGGCACGAAAGCGUGGGGAGCAAACAGG
RNAcentral lists this ribosomal RNA (253 nucleotides) under uncultured bacterium. RNAcentral describes it as "partial 16S ribosomal RNA". It matches the Rfam family "Bacterial small subunit ribosomal RNA", at positions 524 to 776 of the family's 1533-position model. The record is from RNAcentral.